UGAGGAAUAUUGGACAAUGGGCGCAAGCCUGAUCCAGCCAUGCCGCGUGCAGGAAGAAGGUUCUAUGGAUCGUAAACUGCUUUUAUACGGGAAGAAAAACAACUACGUGUAGUUGACUGACUGUACCGUAAGAAUAAGGAUCGGCUAACUCCGUGCCAGCAGCCGCGGUAAUACGGAGGAUCCAAGCGUUAUCCGGAAUCAUUGGGUUUAAAGGGUCCGUAGGCGGAUUGAUAAGUCAGCGGUGAAAGUUUGUGGCUUAACCAUAAAAUUGCCGUUGAUACUGUUAGUCUUGAAUAAUUAUGAAGUAGCUAGAAUAUGUAGUGUAGCGGUGAAAUGCUUAGAUAUUACAUGGAAUACCGAUUGCGAAGGCAGGUUACUAAUAAUUUAUUGACGCUGAUGGACGAAAGCGUGGGGAGCGAACAGG
RNAcentral lists this ribosomal RNA (424 nucleotides) under uncultured prokaryote. Its description in RNAcentral is "bacterial SSU rRNA". It matches the Rfam family "Bacterial small subunit ribosomal RNA", at positions 355 to 776 of the family's 1533-position model. RNAcentral also lists the same sequence under 1 other name. The record is from RNAcentral.